This 2494-nucleotide ribosomal RNA is filed under the name Phytophthora ramorum (sudden oak death agent). RNAcentral's name for it is "18s_rRNA". The stretch from base 3 to 617 matches the Rfam family "Eukaryotic small subunit ribosomal RNA", at positions 4 to 605 of the family's 1831-position model. The record is from RNAcentral. Lineage: Eukaryota; Oomycota; Peronosporomycetes; Peronosporales; Peronosporaceae.
ACCUGGUUGAUCCUGCCAGUAGUCAUACGCUUGUCUCAAAGAUUAAGCCAUGCAUGUCUAAGUAUAAACACUUUUGUACUGUGAAACUGCGAAUGGCUCAUUAUAUCAGUUAUAGUCCACUCGAUAGUACCUUACUACUUGGAUACCCGUAGUAAUUCUAGAGCUAAUACAUGCAUCAAUACCCAACUGCUUGUCGGGCGGGUAGCAUUUAUUAGAUUGAAACCAAUGCAGUCUUCGGGCUGGUAUUGUGUUGAGUCAUAAUAACUGUGCGGAUCGCGCUUUGCGCGAUAAAUCGAUUGAGUUUCUGCCCUAUCAGCUUUGGAUGGUAGGAUAUGGGCCUACCAUGGCAUUAACGGGUAACGGGGAAUUAGGGUUUGAUUCCGGAGAGGGAGCCUUAGAAACGGCUACCACAUCCAAGGAAGGCAGCAGGCGCGUAAAUUACCCAAUCCUGACACAGGGAGGUAGUGACAAUAAAUAACAAUGCUCUGGCUCUUCGAGUCGGGCAAUUGGAAUGAGAACAAUUUAAAUCCCUUAACGAGGAUCAAUUGGAGGGCAAGUCUGGUAAAAUAAGGGUUUUAUUAUUGUUGCCCGUUGAAUUCCGAGCCGAAUGAUAUGCAGGUUGCCAAUAGAGGCCUAAGUUGUGUGGUACACACAAUAUGAUGUGUACCACUCCAAAUAUGUAGUUUAAUAGGUUUUUGGACCCAUUUCAGGAUAAAUUUUGGGAGGUCCCAAAACUUCAGAGGUUAUAAGUUUUGGGAGGUCCCGUCGAGUGUUGCUUGAAUGUUGCACGAAUUGGGUGGCUCGGGCGCGCCGACGAGUCGAGGAUGUCGUCAUUUCCGAAAUUGCCGAGUCGGGCGCAGGUGUACUGCGAGUCUCCAGCUAAGUGCGAUGUCGACGUCGAAACAACCUGCGGUCGGGCGCAGCAGUCGGGGGCGUGCGAGGGCCGAGUCCGCCUCGUCGUCGGCUGUUGCUGUCCAUACGGCUGCGGGGGGUGGAAGCGGAGAGCGUCGUGAGCCGGAGACCGCGGAGGGGGUCCAGCAGCCCGCGGAAGACGGCAGCGCAGACCCGGGUCUCGCGCAGAUUUUGGACGGUUUGAGCGCGGAUUUCUUGGCCGACCUUGAAGAAGAUGAAGCGGCGACGCCAACUGGACACCAGCCAACGGCAGCGCCAGAGGCAGGAACCCCUGCAGGCGAGACGCGAGCCGCGGAGGCCACCGAGGCGACGGCGGAGGCGACCGGGCCAGCGGCUGAGACGACCGAGCCCGCGACGGGGGCGACCGAAACAGCGGCGGAGACUACCGAGCCAGCGGCUGCNNNNNNNNNNNNNNNNNNNNNNNNNNNNNNNNNNNNNNNNNNNNNNNNNNUACAGAGGACGACGGAAAGGAUGGGGAGAUGGUAGAAAAGACGCAUAGUCGGUCGUACACCGUGGAUGAGUGGAUGCAGGAUAGGAUCAAGGAUGUGAUAGGACUUAACCAUAAAUCAGAAUCGAAUUUGCCCUGAACUACAAGAGUGCUUCGCCUCCGCCAAGAAACGGGAACUACAUUGGCCCUACAAGCUGUUGGCAAGUCAAGGAGUAGCUGAUCUAGUGGUUGUGUAAGUCUGGAUAAUAUAUUGGCCAGAUCUUACCUACUCUAGUGAUCUAUUAUCAAGUGCAGAUCCCAGAUCCGACGGAGUUAUUACUUGGCCCGAAGAUCUCUCGAUUUCUCAAACCCCCAGAGUCCCCGCUAUAGGAAGCGGCAAGUAACGCAAAGGAAGGAGGCAUCCACACCCCAAAGGCAACCCCGGCCCCGGAUCAAGUCCAGGCCGCCAGAUCAGAGCUUGAUUGAAUCGCUCUGGAUCUGGAUCCAUAACCGGCAGCAGAGCGAAGACUUCCGCGCUGCUCCACCCCAUCCCCGCGUCCCGCCAGGACGGUCAAGAAACACAUAAUCACAUCUCUUCGGAGCGCCGAGAGAGCAGAUCCAGCCCACCAACGGGUACACAAGGUGAGAAGUUCAGCAGAUCACGGAUCAUCGGGGGACCCCCUCCGUUAGUUGGUGUCUGGGCGCAGUUGGGAAGCCGGAUCCAGUCUUAACCAGAUUUUGACGGAUCCCGCUACACCACAGUGAUGACUGUGGGAAAGGUUGCGGGCGACUGGCUUUCGGGCUGAUUGUUUGCGGCUGGCCUCGUGUGUUGUUGUUUGUGCUGGGAGGCGGCUUUUCGUCUUCUUUCGUAUGGAGGAUAUUAACCUGGUUGAUCCUGCCAGUAGUCAUACGCUUGUCUCAAAGAUUAAGCCAUGCAUGUCUAAGUAUAAACACUUUUGUACUGUGAAACUGCGAAUGGCUCAUUAUAUCAGUUAUAGUCCACUCGAUAGUACCUUACUACUUGGAUACCCGUAGUAAUUCUAGAGCUAAUACAUGCAUCAAUACCCAACUGCUUGUCGGGCGGGUAGCAUUUAUUAGAUUGAAACCAAUGCAGUCGUAUUGUUGCCCGUUGAAUUCCGAGCCGAAUGAUAUGCA